GGGUCAAUAUUUUAAUAUAAUUAAAAUAAUAGUCUGCAAAACUAUAGAUAGGACAUGAGUCUUUUGUCUCG
Molecule: transfer RNA, 71 nt
Filed under: Halocynthia spinosa
Lineage: Eukaryota; Metazoa; Chordata; Ascidiacea; Stolidobranchia; Pyuridae
Description: transfer RNA-Cys
Source: RNAcentral